This 499-nucleotide ribosomal RNA is filed under the name uncultured Glomeromycotina. RNAcentral's name for it is "partial small subunit ribosomal RNA". It matches the Rfam family "Eukaryotic small subunit ribosomal RNA", at positions 591 to 1092 of the family's 1831-position model. The record is from RNAcentral. Lineage: Eukaryota; Fungi; Glomeromycota.
CCAAUAGCGCAUAUUAAAGUUGUUGCAGUUAAAAAGCUCGUAGUUGAAUUUCGGAAUCAAGGUGCCAGUCAUGCCUUUGGUAUACACUGACAUCAUUGAUUUCUCCCUUCUGACGAACCAUGAUGUCAUUAAUUUGGUGUCAUGGGGAAUCAGGACUGUUACUUUGAAAAAAUUAGAGUGUUUAAAGCAGGCAAACGCUUGAAUACAUUAGCAUGGAAUAAUGAAAUAGGACGUUUGAUCCUAUUUUGUUGGUUUCUAGGAUCUACGUAAUGAUUAAUAGGGAUAGUUGGGGGCAUUAGUAUUCAAUUGUCAGAGGUGAAAUUCUUGGAUUUAUUGAAGACUAACUACUGCGAAAGCAUUUGCCAAGGAUGUUUUCAUUAAUCAAGAACGAAAGUUAGGGGAUCGAAGACGAUCAGAUACCGUCGUAGUCUUAACCAUAAACUAUGCCGACUAGGGAUCGGAUGAUGUUAAUUUUUAAUGACUCAUUCGGCGCCUUACG